Heligmosomoides polygyrus is the source of this 75-nucleotide non-coding RNA. Lineage: Eukaryota; Metazoa; Nematoda; Chromadorea; Rhabditida; Heligmosomidae. The record is from Rfam.
GCGCCGGUGGUGUAAUGGCGUAGAGCAUUCCCGCCCGGUUAGAGGGAGGUGUGGGUUCGAGUCCCGCCCGGCGCU